GUUGGCCCACUGCUGAAUGGGUUGGAUGUCCUAUUGACAAAGGGGAUAGAAAAGGCCCCAGGCUUCACUAGCGUGGCCUCCCUGGUUUCCAUGCCUAGUGGCAGAGUUCAGGAGAGAGAGGUACAUUAGAAGAACAUAAAAUUAUAGGUCAUUUAAGGAAUCUGCACAUACCUGACCCUGUGAGACCAGACUGGCUGUACCUGAGGGCACUGAGGGAGCUGGGUGAUGUCAUUGCAAGGCCAUUCUACAUCAUUUUUCAAAACUCUUGGCAGCUGGGGAAGGAUCCUGACGACUGCCAUGGAAAAGGCACGUGUCACACCCAUCUUCAAAAAGGGCAAGAAGGAAGAUCCGGGAAAUGACAGACCAGUCAGCCUCACCUCAGUCCCUGGGAAACUUUUGGAGCAGAUCCUCCUUGAAACCAUGUCCAAGGACAUGAAGGCACAAAAAGGACAACAAGGGUUACCAGAUGUUUAGAUGUUUCUGGACAACCCCCUGCACAUGCAGGCCAGGGGAUGGGCUACAGCUGUGGUUAACUCCCUGAUCCACAUGCCAUGCUCCAGGUACCAAGGACUUACUGAGGACAUCAAGUUUGAUGCACAGCAGGAGCCUUCCUUUGAACUUAUUUACUCUCACUGUGCCUGGUGGCUGGUGGAUAAGCUGUGGGUCUGGCUGGUGUAGUCGAGAGCAUUGGAUAGAGCCAUCCUGCAGUUUCUGCAGGAAGAACACAAGAUCCCAGCUGGCCCAAGCUCUCCCUCCUCGCCCAACUUUGGAGACACUUGGGGGGCCCACACUGGAUGAGGUGGCCUCGAAGUGCACUAAGAGCAGUCCCUUGAGUUGCAAGAGCUGCCUGGGAAAGGAACAGCCUGCAAGGGGACGCCACGGUGUGGGUCCUGAGCCUGCUAUGCCUGCAUCGAUGCAGAGGCACGGCACUCCCCGUGAUGGUGAGUCCCUCUGCCCUCAGGGCCUGAGAAGAGGCAGGUGAAAGAGCCAGUGGCUGGGAAGGGGUCUGAUCUUGCCGCUGUGCCCCAAAGCAAGAGGUGAAUGGCAAUGAACACCUGCCUUUGGCUGCAGUUUCUCUUCUUGGCACCAAGCGCUUGUGUUUGGAUUCAAAGUGCGGUAACAAAGCCCUUGCCGGCGAACACAUUUCAACAUGUUAUUAUUCCCAGGCUGGCUUUCAAGAUCCUCUUUCUAUUCCUUCUGUACUGAUUGCUCUUGUUUCUCUUGGCUCCCAGCUCUGGCUUUUCAGGCUUCAUUAACUGGAAUUUAUUAGCAACUUUAAACAAUCUUCGUGCUGCCAAAAAGAGAGAAAGAAAGAAAAGAAGAAAAAAAAGAAAGAAACAAAGAGGAGACACACUAAACUGCAGGCUGGUCCCUGACUGUGUGAGGCCCAGGUCUGAACACCUCUAUCACUGGAGGUUUUCUUUGGAGGAAAGGACCGGUAAGUGCAGACAGAGGAGAAUGCAGACUGAUGGAGAGCUGUCACGGAGGAGACCUCGGUGGUGUUGCCUCUUCAAAGCCUGCUGAGACUGGAGAAUCUGGCCUCUUGGCAGCCUCCGAGCAUUGAGUGCUAAUUGCAUCCGCAACACCUUCCUGAGCAGCUCACAGUAAAAACUAAUGACUAACAGGUCCCAGCACACCUGAGAGGCCCAUUCUCGUCACUGAAUGGAUGGGUAAACAGAGGCACUGGCAGGGAAAAUCACUCUACCAAGACCACACAGUGAGUGAGCAGUUUGAGCUGGAGCAGUCCUGGUGCCCUCAUCUGUGCCGUAACCACAGCGUUGCCUCUGAUCCCUUGUGGGACACAGCCUUUUGGUCUCCAGAGGGGAGAUGAGCUAACGCAGAAAUGUCCUGUGGGACACAGCCGGGCUGGACAUCAUGGUGUGGCUUGGGUGAUUGCUUCACUGUCCUCAAGACCCUCGUGUGCCAUCCUGCUCUCGCUUGUUCUUCACAUGCCCCCCACCUGGCAUGGCUGUGUGCAGAGGACUAACAUACUCAGGGCUCAGGUGGGUCCAGCAACCCAGCUUUAGAGUGCUCCACAGUAGCCUGAAGGAUAUGCAACAAGGCACAUUUGUCCUCAGUGUCCAUGGGACACAUGUGCUUAAUCUACCCAUUUUUGCAGCUUGCUUUCCCCUAUCCAUUAUUCCUGCUCCUUGGUUGAACCCCAGCACCAUGCACAAGCUAAGCCUUGAGUCCUGAUCUCUGCCUUUCAUGAAACUUCACCUUCAUGAGGAGCCUGAGAUGGUGAUAAAAUAGAGUCACAGAAAGAGAAGGACUUGUAAAAGGUGUGGAACACCAGCUUUCCUCCAAGCUGCUGUGACUCUGGACUACUGGGACUAGAUCUAACAAGAGAAAAGAUUGGCAGCAGCAGAGCAGGAGAGGGGAACUAUGAGGAGCUCAUGGAGGAGUCAGAGGAACAUGCACUUUCUCUGACUGUCAAAGAAGAUGAGGGUUACAGAUCACAGACACAUGCGUUGAAGGGCCAGGGGUGUCAGGAGUUUCUGGGAUGUUUCUGAACAUUAGACCAGGGUAAAAAUGUCCCUAAAAUAUAAGAGUUUCCAGGGAAUCUCAAAAGGAGAUUUGAAAAUCUGUGUUGAAUUUGGCAAAUAGUUUUGGCUGAGGAACCUGUAAUUUUUUUCAGAAUGUUCAAGCAUCUUUUUUAAGGCAUCUUUGCAAUAUAGCAAAUACCACUUGAAAUACCAUUUUCUUUUCAAGUUUGACCCAAAGUAAAAGAGUAAAGGUUAAGAAUUAAACUGAAAAUGAAACGUACUUUUCUCUUCCAGGUUAAAAGAACUUUUGGGGGUUGACCAAAGCCCCAGGACAUCACUUUUGGUUCACCUUGAAUUGAAUUUUGCAAGUUUUGUCUUCAGUUGCUCCAGCCUGUUACUCGCCCAGUUUAUCAAGGAUGUAACAGGGAACAUAGCAUAUGAGGCAGGCUGAGGCUGUAAGAUCACCCAAAAUCCCUGGAGAUGAGAAACCUGCUGAAAGGUUUCCAUCUAACUGAAGACAGGCACUUGCAGCAAGGAUGGGCUGUAGCAGAGUCCUCUUCCUUGUCAGCCCUUCUCUGCCUGGAGGUCAGUCAGGUGCAUGGGCAGGUCUUCUUCCUUCCCAGGAGGCACUAACACUGAGCUACCUGGAUUGUCCCUCAUUGCUCAGCAGGUCUUCACACACUUAGCAUGCCCCAGCAUGGGCAGUUCUUCCAUGGAGAAGUAGACAGAAGGCUUGGUCUCCUGCGCUACAUGUCACCCCAGUAGACCCGAGGGACUAUGUUCUGGGUAGAUGAAAUCUGCAGAGAUUUGAGCUGUGAAACCUGAACAAACUUCUGUUGAGGAUGUGUAAACAGGCAGGAUUUGUUUGCUUGAUUCUUGUGCACAUCCUGGCACAGAGGGUGAUCCCAUUCUGAAUGUCAUGGUCCUGAUGUAAUGUUUUGGGAUGAAAGUUUGGUAAAGAUAUAAGUGAAAAGAGCAGGGGAAAUGCCAGGCAAAUUGCAUUACUGGUCAAUGACAGCC
Molecule: long non-coding RNA, 3506 nt
Organism: Aquila chrysaetos chrysaetos
Lineage: Eukaryota; Metazoa; Chordata; Aves; Accipitriformes; Accipitridae
Exons: 5
Source: RefSeq, a predicted model, not a curated record